GGAAGAUCCACUGGAGUUUCCUGAGCAAGUCCCACAACACAGGCUGAAAGAGAGCUGUUGAAGAGAAGGAGCAAAGCUGUGAGGCUGCCUACAUCCUGCCAGUGCCUCAGAUCCUCGACAUUAGCUCCCUGCCCUGCCCACACGCGUGCCCUCCCCGAGGUGACACCGCCGAGCGCAGGGGACUGCGAGGAGAGCUGCGUCGGUCGCAGCCCCGC
Molecule: non-coding RNA, 215 nt
Organism: Phasianus colchicus (ring-necked pheasant)
Lineage: Eukaryota; Metazoa; Chordata; Aves; Galliformes; Phasianidae
Source: RefSeq, a predicted model, not a curated record